RNAcentral lists this ribosomal RNA (301 nucleotides) under uncultured bacterium. RNAcentral's name for it is "partial 16S ribosomal RNA". It matches the Rfam family "Bacterial small subunit ribosomal RNA", at positions 509 to 807 of the family's 1533-position model. The record is from RNAcentral.
CAGUCGCCGCGGGAAUACGGAGGGAGCUAGCGUUGUUCGGAAUUACUGGGCGUAAAGCGCACGUAGGCGGUUACUCAAGUCAGAGGUGAAAGCCCGGGGCUCAACCCCGGAACUGCCUUUGAAACUAGGUGACUAGAAUCUUGGAGAGGUCAGUGGAAUUCCGAGUGUAGAGGUGAAAUUCGUAGAUAUUCGGAAGAACACCAGUGGCGAAGGCGACUGACUGGACAAGUAUUGACGCUGAGGUGCGAAAGCGUGGGGAGCAAACAGAAUUAGAUACCCGGGUAGUCCCUGUCUCUUAUAC